RNAcentral lists this ribosomal RNA (468 nucleotides) under uncultured bacterium. Its description in RNAcentral is "partial 16S ribosomal RNA". It matches the Rfam family "Bacterial small subunit ribosomal RNA", at positions 28 to 507 of the family's 1533-position model. The record is from RNAcentral.
GACGAACGCUGGCGGCGUGCUUAACACAUGCAAGUCGAACGGAAAGGCCCUGCUUUUGUGGGGUGCUCGAGUGGCGAACGGGUGGGUAACACGUGAGUAACCUGCCCUUGACUUUGGGAUAACUUCAGGAAACUGGGGCUAAUACCGGAUAGGAGCCCCUGCUGCAUGGUGGGGGUUGGAAAGUUUCGGCGGUUGGGGAUGGACUCGCGGCUUAUCAGCUUGUUGGUGGGGUAGUGGCUUACCAAGGCUUUGACGGGUAGCCGGCCUGAGAGGGUGACCGGCCACAUGGGGACUGAGAUACGGCCCAGACUCCUACGGGAGGCAGCAGUGGGGAAUAUUGCACAAUGGGCGGAAGCCUGAUGCAGCAACGCCGCGUGCGGGAUGACGGCCUUCGGGUUGUAAACCGCUUUCGCCUGUGACGAAGCGUGAGUGACGGUAAUGGGUAAAGAAGCACCGGCUAACUACGUG